Molecule: long non-coding RNA, 3267 nt
Filed under: Brassica napus (rape)
Lineage: Eukaryota; Viridiplantae; Streptophyta; Magnoliopsida; Brassicales; Brassicaceae
Description: long non-coding RNA (BNAP_LNC011951)
Source: RNAcentral
ACCGAUUGGGAGCAGAGUCUCCCCCUCCCCCUCUCUCUCUCUUUGCCGUGGAGCUCAUCAGACGACAGAGAAGUAGACGCCCAUGGAUAGACUUCUUCAACCACCGUCUUCUUCCAUACUCGCCCCCUCCAAAUCCCAAUUAAGAGCACCUCCGUUGCUCCUCCGUGUCCACCGUCUCGACUCUCCCAGUCUUAUCCCUGCCUCCCCGCGCCGGGUGAGUUCCAUCUCCUGCCUCUUCCGCCACAAUCCUUCGCCGACUACGUCUCCAGGAUCGAAUCAAGCUAGAAACCUCUCGUCUUCCUCUCCGAAAGCCGACGAGUCAAAACCUAAUCCAGGGUUUCUCGAACAGAUCGUGCGGAGUUAUGAGCAGAGAAAGGUAUAUAAUCGUCACUAGCUAUGAAUCUUCUAGUCUAUAUCGAUGUCUUGUGAGCCUUAAUCAGUGGAUAUGUAUUCAGUCAAACAAGGGAGACAUAAACAAAACGAUCUUACAAAAGCAAAAACAACAAACAAAGGAUCUAAAGCAUUAUAGGCAAAAAGACCUAAGGAUACAAAACCGAAGCUGAAAGCACGAAACACACAUGAACCCUUCCAUAGAAGCAAUUUGUAGCUGGAGUUGAACCUAAGAACUAAGGAUCUGCGGAGUAUCCAAUCUAGAGGAAGUCAAAGCACGAUCCUAACAAGUAACAACACCGGCGAAGAGGAUCAUGUAAUAGAAACAAGCAACAACACCGAACUACUUACACCACGCUUACAUCAAGAAUCACCACCUGCAACAUAACACUGGCACAAGGUAAACCUUGAAACUCCAAUAGGGCAAAACGUCUAAGAGGAUCAAAGGUUCUUACACAUGGGCACUCAUGUACCCAGCUUAGCCCAUCUACAAGCACAAAGCUGGUCACGUCCUCGCAAGAGAAGAAACCAAAGAUCGAGACCACUGCAUCGUCCUUAAACCAAUCUCCCCAAACAGAGAAGAAGAUUGUAGAUGGCUCCACAGCAAACUCACAUCCGAGAGACGAAACCCCAAACCGAGACCAGACCAAAAGCGAAGAAGCAAGACUCGCGAAGACAUGGAGAAGUAGAGGUACCCAGAUCUAGAAGCGAUGAUUAGACCCAAUGCCACCAUGAUCCUUUGUUAAACCGUUGAAAAAGCACAUGCAUGAAGAGAAAACUUCAGAUCUGCCAUGGAUCUACAGACAUGCAAGCUCCUAAACGCCGACUCUUCUGCAAACAACCGACCUUUAAACCUCGCCCUCUUUCCAGAUCACGAUGCCUCCACCGAAUUCAAGAACCACCACCGGCUCAUAGAACCAGAGAAGCAUAGAAGCACCAGAAUUAAGACAUAUCGGCCCACAGAACCGGAGAAAGCAGAGAAGCAAACUGAAAACGAGAUAAUAAAAAAGAGAAACUCCGCCUACCGGCAAGGAACGCACGGCGGUAGAGGAGAACUUGCCUAGGUUUGAAAGUUCUAUGUAGAGAGCGUUUUUUUUUUCUCGUCUUCUCCCGAGACCUUGAAUCUACGUUUACAAAAGGAUAUCAUUCAAAUUAACAUUAUAUCUAAAAAGUUCAUUUAUCUUAACGAAACAAGAAAACUAUUUUACUAUUUUAUCUUUCUAUAGUUUACAUUCAAUAGAAAAGUAUGAUUUGUAUACCUCGUAAUUUUUUUUAAUUAAAUUGAUCUAAUAACUUUUCUAUAGAUGUAUAUGCUAUAGCUUUAUAUUUUCCCCAUGGCACAUAAAAUAUUGUUUUUUAAACAUGGUUUUACAACAAUUUAUAUUUUUUUUGGCUAUACUUUUAGAAAUUAACUUAAAACAUGAUUGAUAUUAUUAAAGUUGUAUAUAAAAGUUAAAGCUAAAUAAGGUUAUCUAUAACUCGACCAAUCACUAUUUUUAUGUUUCAGUAGUAUCACAAAAAAAAUCUAUUUUAUUUCACUCUAAUAUUUUUAAAAAAGCAAAUCAAAAUCUAAUAUAUUUUUAAAUUAAAAAAAAAUAAAAUAGAUUUUACUACAAAAAUAAAAUUAUCAAACUAUAUAAAAUAUAUUCAUAUAACAAGUAUAUGAUUAAUUAAACAUAUUAAAUAAUAUAAAUAUUAAAAUUUAAAUAAAAUACAUUAAAUUAUAUAUAUGGUAUAUUUGAGUUUACAAUUUAAGAUAAUCAGAUCAAUCUUAUUUCUAGAUAUUUUAUUCUAUAUAUUGAUAUAGAAUAAAAUAUUCUAUAUAUUGAUAUAGAAUAAAAUAUGAAAAAAAGAUAAAAAUAGCACUAAAUCAAGUUUAUGUUUCCAAACUAGCACUCAAGGUUAAAAGUCACAAAAAUAGCACUUAAUGUUUUAUCAAAAGUCACAAACUUAGGGUUUAGAGUUAAAGGGUGGGGUUUAGGAUUUAGGGUUUAGGGUUUAGAGUUUAGGGUUUAGAGUUGAGAAAUGAGGUUUUGGGGAUAAGAUUUCAAAUUUUGAAAAAUAAAAAAAUUAAAAUUUUCAAAGGAUAAACUUAGAAAUGUGUUAUUUUGGUCAUUUUAGUUUUUGAGUACUAUUUUUGUGAUAUAAAUUUAGAAAGAUGUUAUUUUGGAGAUUUGCCCAUAAAAUAUCUUAAGAUAAUCAGAUCAAUCUUAUUUCUAGAAAUUUUUUUCCAAAACCAGAGUUAUAAAAUUGGAAUUUCACCAUAUUUUGGCAACUACAAUUAGCAAAAAAAAUAUCUUUUAAAGAAAACAUAUAUCUUCUUGAAAGAAUUACAUUCUUUCCCAGAGAAAUCGUAGCUUAUACUUUUUCGAUAUUUUUCAUACUAAUAUAAUAUUUAUUUAUAUGCAGAGAAGCAGCAAAAUAACUUUUUAAAAAGUUUUAUCCUCACCGAUUGGGAGCAGAGUCUCCCCCUCCCCCUCUCUCUCUCUUUGCCGUGGAGCUCAUCAGACGACAGAGAAGUAGACGCCCAUGGAUAGACUUCUUCAACCACCGUCUUCUUCCAUACUCGCCCCCUCCAAAUCCCAAUUAAGAGCACCUCCGUUGCUCCUCCGUGUCCACCGUCUCGACUCUCCCAGUCUUAUCCCUGCCUCCCCGCGCCGGGUGAGUUCCAUCUCCUGCCUCUUCCGCCACAAUCCUUCGCCGACUACGUCUCCAGGAUCGAAUCAAGCUAGAAACCUCUCGUCUUCCUCUCCGAAAGCCGACGAGUCAAAACCUAAUCCAGGGUUUCUCGAACAGAUCGUGCGGAGUUAUGAGCAGAGAAAGGUAUAUAAUCGUCACUAGCUAUGAAUCUUCUAGUCUAUAUCGAUGUCUUGUGAG